RNAcentral lists this ribosomal RNA (253 nucleotides) under uncultured bacterium. RNAcentral's name for it is "partial 16S ribosomal RNA". It matches the Rfam family "Bacterial small subunit ribosomal RNA", at positions 524 to 776 of the family's 1533-position model. The record is from RNAcentral.
UACAGAGGUCCCAAGCGUUGUUCGGAUUCACCGGGCGUAAAGGGUGCGUAGGUGGUCGGGUAAGUCUGAUGUGAAAUCUUCGAGCUCAACUCGAAAAUGGCAUUGGAUACUAUUCGGCUGGAGGGUUGGAAGGGGGACUGGAAUUCUCGGUGUAGCAGUGAAAUGCGUAGAUAUCGAGAGGAACACCGGUGGCGAAGGCGAGUCCCUGGACAAUUCCUGACACUGAGGCACGAAAGCUAGGGGAGCAAACAGG